RNAcentral lists this ribosomal RNA (324 nucleotides) under uncultured eukaryote. RNAcentral describes it as "partial 18S ribosomal RNA". It matches the Rfam family "Eukaryotic small subunit ribosomal RNA", at positions 1470 to 1796 of the family's 1831-position model. The record is from RNAcentral.
CCCUUAGAUGUUCUGGGCCGCACGCGCGCUACACUGACGAUGGCAACGAGUUUUUCCUUCGCCGAAAGGUGUGGGUAAUCUUUUGAAACAUCGUCGUGCUGGGGAUAGAUCAUUGCAAUUUUUGAUCUUGAACGAGGAAUUCCUAGUAAGCGCGAGUCAUCAGCUCGUGCUGAUUACGUCCCUGCCCUUUGUACACACCGCCCGUCGCUCCUACCGAUUGAGUGCUCAGGUGAAUAAUUCGGACUGCAGCAAUGUUUGGAUCCCGAACGUUGCAGCGGAAAGUUUAGUGAACCUUAUCACUUAGAGGAAGGAGAAGUCGUAACA